Molecule: ribosomal RNA, 232 nt
Filed under: uncultured bacterium
Lineage: Bacteria
Description: partial 16S ribosomal RNA
Rfam family: Bacterial small subunit ribosomal RNA
Source: RNAcentral
UGAGCAACCUACCCUUGACACUGGAAUAACAGCUGGAAACAGCUGCUAAUACCGGAUACGACCUUCGAUGGCAUCAUCUGGAGGUGGAAAGCUCCGACGGUCAAGGAUGGGCUCGCGGCCUAUUAGCUUGUUGGUGAGGUAACGGCUCACCAAAGCUUCGACGGGUAGCCGGCCUGAGAGGGCGACCGGCCACACUGGGACUGAGAUACGGCCCAGACUCCUACGGGAGCAG